RNAcentral lists this non-coding RNA (27 nucleotides) under Rattus norvegicus (Norway rat). Lineage: Eukaryota; Metazoa; Chordata; Mammalia; Rodentia; Muridae. The record is from RNAcentral.
CACGAUUUCUGAGAACUGCUGUGGUGG